CUAUCUGUACCUGUAAAAACUAAUUAUAAUUUUUUUUAUAUGGUUUGUGCGUUCCAUCAUUGUAGAGAAUUGCAAAGAAGUUUUGUAAGUAAAGGGGAAGAGAUCCAUAUAAUCAAAGAAACCACUUUUUUUAAUAAGAUGAAUGAAUGCACCUCUUCAAGUUCUACAGAAUUAUUAAAUGAAGGAAUCUGCUUCAGAAUUACUGACUGCAUGUCGCUGCAACAUCUGUGCUACAAAGUUUGAUUGUUU
Papilio xuthus (Asian swallowtail) is the source of this 249-nucleotide long non-coding RNA. RefSeq lists it as uncharacterized. The record is from RefSeq and is a predicted model, not a curated record. Lineage: Eukaryota; Metazoa; Arthropoda; Insecta; Lepidoptera; Papilionidae. The transcript has 2 exons.